CAACUAAAGCAUCUGUGACAGAUGGCCAUCCAACCUUUGUUUAAAAUCUCCAAUGAAGGGGACUCCACCUCCUUCCAAAGGAGUCUGUCCCACUGUUGAGCAGCUCUUACUGAUGUUUAGUUGGAGAAUAUUUGAGACUUUGCCUUCUUGAUUUUUUAACAACCUGUGCUCAGUUAUUUGACUUAAAUACACACACAGUUUGCUGGAUCACAGUCAAAUUAGUGAAGUCCAUUGAUUUCAUUGGAUCUAAUCUGAGAAUGCCUUGCUUGACUACAACCCUUAAUAUUUAUUUUGGUUGUUCUGAGAGGAUUGUAUAUUUAAAAGAUUCUAAAUUUUUAUGAGAGAUGGCUAAGAAUGUUAGAGGAACAAUACAUUUUUUGGAUUAGAAGACCAAGCCAAACACACACACACCCCACACAUACUCUGAGGUUUAAUACACCCGGUUUUGCUGCUUGACUUGACACUGACUUAACACUGGCUGUGGGUUCGGGUGUAAGUCAGAUCAGUUUUCAUGGCCUACAGACUGAUAGGAUAACUUCUGGUACAAUAAAGUACUGUACUACUUAUGCAUCAGCUAAGAGAAAACAAAAGGAAGACACCUUUAUAAAUACUUCUGCUAAUUUAUAUGAGUAGGUGCUGAUUUAAAAAUAAUUACUUUUAAGUAGACAUAUAAUACAUCUGACGGCAACUUCAAGGCCACAGCUCUCUCAGACUUGGAUUCAAAGACCUUCAUACAGGCAACUUCUGUAGAAUAGGGCACAUGGCCACCAAAGAGUGAUGAGAUAGGAAUUCAAUUAGAAUGAAGCUCAAGGACCAUCAUUUGGAAACCUCUGCUCUAGGGGAUGCAAUCAUGUGACUAACGCAGCUGGAUAGAAGACUUCGUUUUCAAAACUAGGUAAGAGAAUAAGAACAAAACCAUUUCAAUUGAAAAGCUUUUAUUAUACGGUGCUCAACUUUUCACUGAAGGUUAGAGAGACUUUUCUUGAAUUCAGUAGUCCUACUUAAGGAUAACAAAAUCAUAUCAUUGUUAAGGACCUCAGAAAUUACAGCACUACAUGAUAAACUGCUCUGUCUCUGUUUUAUAUUAAUACUUCAUACAUAUAAGCUGCUCUAAAUUUAAUGCUCUUGUAAGGAAGGUUAAAUACUACAAAACUUCCAUACAGCAAAAGCCUGGAACUCUUAAUGCAUCAGAUUUUCUACUUGGUGAUUGUUCAGAUGGUAUUACAUCUUAAUGGAUUCCUUUUUAAAGAACUAGAUUGUGAUUAAUUGCAGUGCAUGAUUAUGUACAUGAAAAGGAUUGGUCUGAACCUUUGCCCUAACCAUACACCAGGGUAAAAGGAAGUUAUAAAAAGGUGAUGAUUUAAUCAUUUUACUGAAAUAAAACUGUGACAUCUUAGCAGACACAAACAAUCCUAUUUAUGUGUUAAAUGAACACCAUUUUUAUUGCCCAAUGUAAAUGCAAGUCAUGCACAACAAAUCAAGCAGGUGUCUAAAAGGGGAAAACAUUCUUUUGAGCAUUAACCCUUGGCAAUAUUUGUGUUUCCCAAAUUAAGCUGGAAAUAAGCCAGUUUAGUGUAAUGCCUAGAACACUAUUUGGACAUGUGAAACAUCAAUGCAAAUAUCUACAUAGCCAUCAUUUUUCUAGAUAGCUAUGAGCAUGUUACCAUCUCUCUGCCAAGUUACAGAAUUAUUGUGAGGAUAAAAUAGGAAAGACAUAUAUACACCAGCCUUAAAGGAGAAUAGGAUAAAAAGGAGAUUGCAAGUGCUCCUUUGUUAUUUAUUAACACACAUAGAGGACAUACUCUAGAUUUAUAUAAUGACCAUUAAAAUAGACACUACUUGUAUAGAAAACUAACAGAAUUAGAAUGUGUGUGUGAUUUAUUUAUUUAGUCUGUGCGCACAUGUGUGUGUUUGUGCGCGCACACGCACACAUAUACACUCUACAGAAAGCACAUGAGAGGACUGCAAAAUUGCUUUGUUUUAACAUUUACUGCAAACCAUGCCAAUAUUUGGCCACAGUAUUAUAGCAGACCUGGGUGCAAGUGCUAAUCAAGUGGAAAUGCUAGUAGACAUUUAUUAGCAUUUAUUUAUAAAAUCAAAUACUUCUUUUC
This is a non-coding RNA of Podarcis lilfordi (Lilford's wall lizard), 2111 nucleotides long. NCBI's taxonomy places the organism in Eukaryota, Metazoa, Chordata, Lepidosauria, Squamata, Lacertidae. The record is from the annotation of a GenBank genome assembly.